This 290-nucleotide ribosomal RNA is filed under the name uncultured Flavobacteriaceae bacterium. RNAcentral's name for it is "partial 23S ribosomal RNA". It matches the Rfam family "Bacterial large subunit ribosomal RNA", at positions 1 to 305 of the family's 2925-position model. The record is from RNAcentral. Lineage: Bacteria; Pseudomonadati; Bacteroidota; Flavobacteriia; Flavobacteriales; Flavobacteriaceae.
AAUAAGCUAAUUAAGAGCGUAAGGUGGAUGCCUUGGCUCUCAGAGGCGAUGAAGGACGUGAUAAGCUGCGAUAAGCUACGGGGAUUGGCACACACAAUUUGAUCCGUAGAUUUCCGAAUGGGGAAACCCACUAUAUUGAAGAUAUAGUAUCCGUUAAGGAAGCAAACCCAGGGAACUGAAACAUCUAAGUACCUGGAGGAAUAGAAAACAAAAGUGAUUCCGCUAGUAGUGGCGAGCGAACGCGGAUCAGCCCAAACCAAAAUUGUUUCGGCAAUUUUGGGGUUGUAGGA